This 312-nucleotide ribosomal RNA is filed under the name Enterococcus gilvus. RNAcentral's name for it is "bacterial SSU rRNA". It matches the Rfam family "Bacterial small subunit ribosomal RNA", at positions 989 to 1302 of the family's 1533-position model. Lineage: Bacteria; Bacillati; Bacillota; Bacilli; Lactobacillales; Enterococcaceae. The record is from RNAcentral.
CUUUGACCACUCUAGAGAUAGAGCUUCCCCUUCGGGGGCAAAGUGACAGGUGGUGCAUGGUUGUCGUCAGCUCGUGUCGUGAGAUGUUGGGUUAAGUCCCGCAACGAGCGCAACCCUUAUUGUUAGUUGCCAUCAUUUAGUUGGGCACUCUAGCGAGACUGCCGGUGACAAACCGGAGGAAGGUGGGGAUGACGUCAAAUCAUCAUGCCCCUUAUGACCUGGGCUACACACGUGCUACAAUGGGAAGUACAACGAGUCGCGAAGUCGCGAGGCUAAGCUAAUCUCUUAAAGCUUCUCUCAGUUCGGAUUGUA